UCUGGAGCAAAACUGCUGAGGUUUGAGGCCCCGUUUUGCUGCUCACUAGCUACAUGAUCUUGGGCAAGUUAUUUAAGCUCUCUGAGCUUCAGUUUCUUCCUCUGCAGAAUGGGGAUGAAAGUGGACUACUACCUCAUGGCAUGUUUUGAGGAUGAAAUGAGCUAAUAAACACAGUCUUCAGCCCUACAUUAGGAUGGCCUAAGGAAAACAAGAAGACUGAAUGAUAUUCCCUGGUUCUCACUCUGUCAUCCAAGCUAGAGUGCAGUGGGGUAAAACACGGCUCACUGCAGCCUCGAUCUCUUGGCUCAAGCUAUCCUCCUGCCUCAGCCUCCUGUUUAUCUGGGACCACAGCUGACUUAUAUAAGUUAUUAGUCUUCUAGAAGGAUCACAAGGAACCAGCAUCAAAGAAAUGGAAUCCAGCUAAUUCCCCCAAGAAACUGAAGUUUUCGGGACAUGACUUGUGAAAGGCAAACAUAAGCUGACAUCUUUUCACACUGAACAGCAAGAGCCAAAGUGUAUCCGAAAAGCCAUUGUCAAAACAAGGAGUGAGAACAGCUGGGGUCAAGACCUAAUGAAGGGCAUCACUCAGCCUCUUUGAGCCUCGGAUUCCUCAUUUGUAAAGUGGGCAUAAUAAUACCUCACAGGGUAGUUAUGAGGGCAAAUGAGAUAAUGGACACGAAGGCACCUGUACACUCCACGGUGCUAUCAGAAUAUUGACUAUUAGUGCUUUCAUCACGCGGCUCCAUCCAAACCCCUGCUUUCCCUCACUCCAAAAUUAUUCCUUUGCAGGUGGUGCAAAGGAUCAGCACGGGAGUUUUGACCUGCUCCGUUUCCGACCUGGGUCGGUUCACCCCUCCUUAGGCAACCUGGCGGUUCCCCGCUCCAGGGAGGUCACCCUCUUGAUGCUGAAUUUAGCACGGACACCUGAUGGGCACAGUGCACUGCAGCCCAGAGCUCCUGAGCUCAAGCCAUCCUCCUGCCUCAGCCUCCAAGUAGCCAGGACCACAGGCACGCACCCUGAGGAGGAAGAAAUACCAGGUGCGCAUGCUCCAAGAAAAAGCCAUCUGAGGACGCGGCAAGAAGGCCGCCAUCUACAAGCCAAGGAGAGGGGCCUCAGGAGAAAUCGAACCUGUCACACCUUGAUCUUGGACUUCCAGCCUUCAGAACUGUGAGAAAGUAAAUUUCUGUGUUCAAGCUACCAGGUCUGUGGGAUUUUUUAUGGCAGCCCUAGCAGACUAAGACAGGCAUCAAUGGUUCCAAUGUUUUCAUUUUUUUUCCGGUAAGCAGACCGAAGCCCAGAGAGAUGAAGCAAUUUGCCCAAAGUCACAUACCAAGUUAACUGAAGAGUUGGGGUUAGAAUCCAGCUCUUGUGACUUCUCUCUUUUCAGUUUCCCUUCCCACUCCCCCCACUGAAAAGCUUUUGAGUGACUCUUUUAGAAAUCCCGGUUCUGUAUAUGAAGCAGAAUUGAGCACAGCUGCUCUAAUGAAGGGCUCAGAGCUCCCAGGCUUUUCUCUCUCCCCUGCCCCUUUUCCCUGUUGCACCUCUGCAGUGUCCUGAGGGUUGAUGGAAUCUAGUUUGAAAGCUAUUGCUCUACCUCACUGCCUCCUGAAUGCAAUGUCACAAAUUUUCCCAACUUGCCAUUUCUCUCACACUGACAUAAAGCAUUAGAAACCUGUUGUGAAGUAGGAAAGCUAACUGGGUCAGUAGCUGAUAAGAUAAUCUGGCCUAGGGGAUAGAUGAUUAGGAUUUCAGAGAAGGAAAGGUCACCCAAUUGAUUUGACUCUGUCCUGGGGCGAUGAUAUGGUGAAGAUUUCUACAGAUGCAGCAGAAACAUCCGGAAACCAGGUGUGUCCCAGCUCUGGUCUGGGAACCAUUUCAUAAAUUGGCAAAUAUCCAGGAUAUACACAUGGCUAAUUCUGAGGUGUACUGAAGUUUCAAUAAAGCUACUUUGGUAAUGACUAGGAGAAGAAAAUCCUAUGGCUGGACUUCAUUAAUGUUGUAUGGCCAAGGACAGUGUUUCUCUAAUUAUGGCCUGUGAACCUCCCUGGAUCUCGAUCACCUGCAUAUUUGGGAAUAUGCAGGUUCCAGGGUCCCACCUGAAACUACAGAAUCAGUAUUGAGAUCCCAGGUGAUUCUCAUGUACACUCAAGUGUAAGAUUAUUAGCACCUGGACUUUGGAAGCAGCCAGAUAAAAGUUUGGAUCCUGGGUUGGCUACUUCCUAGAUGUGGCCAAGUCAUUUUACUUGCCAUGCUUUUGCUUUUCUUGUCUGUAAAGUGGACAUGAUACCUAUUUUACAGGGUGGUUUUGAGGAAUAAGGUCAGCAUUAAACAUUUAUCCUCUUUAGGGAGACAGAGAGAGGAGAUGAAAUAGAGUAGAAUUGAGAAAAGCAGUUUCUUAGACCUCCCUGUGAAGUUUUUCUUAUUUCAACAAAUAAUAAAAUAAAAAAUUCAUACACU
RNAcentral lists this long non-coding RNA (2458 nucleotides) under Homo sapiens (human). Its description in RNAcentral is "HSALNT0342456". The record is from RNAcentral. Lineage: Eukaryota; Metazoa; Chordata; Mammalia; Primates; Hominidae.